RNAcentral lists this ribosomal RNA (305 nucleotides) under uncultured bacterium. Its description in RNAcentral is "bacterial SSU rRNA". It matches the Rfam family "Bacterial small subunit ribosomal RNA", at positions 337 to 635 of the family's 1533-position model. The record is from RNAcentral.
GCCUACGGGGGGCAGCAGUAGGGAAUUUUCGUCAAUGGGCGCAAGCCUGAACGAGCAAUGCCGCGUGAACGAGGAAGGUCUCCGGAUCGUAAAGUUCUGUUGAAGGGGAAAAAGAGCGGAGAGAGGAAAUGGUCUCCGAUUGAUAUUACCCUUCGAGGAAGUCACGGCUAACUACGUGCCAGCAGCCGCGGUAAUACGUAGGUGGCGAGCGUUAUCCGGAAUGAUCGGGCGUAAAGGGUGCGUAGGCGGCCUGCUAAGUCUGGAGUGAAAGGUACCGGCUCAACCGGUACAGGCUCUGGAAACUG